Lojkania enalia is the source of this 88-nucleotide non-coding RNA. NCBI's taxonomy places the organism in Eukaryota, Fungi, Ascomycota, Dothideomycetes, Pleosporales. The record is from the annotation of a GenBank genome assembly.
GGGCCGGUAACUCAGUGGUAGAGUGUAGGACUGCAGUUUUUCUUCAUCUGCCUUCCCGAAGUCACCGGUUCGACUCCGGUUCGGCCCU